This 528-nucleotide ribosomal RNA is filed under the name Triticum aestivum (bread wheat). RNAcentral's name for it is "partial small subunit ribosomal RNA". The record is from RNAcentral. Lineage: Eukaryota; Viridiplantae; Streptophyta; Magnoliopsida; Poales; Poaceae.
AUGAGUGUGCCUUCCGUGCUGGUUGGGGAUUCCAUUUACUGGUUGAUUGCCGGUUAUUCAUUAGUAAUCCUUGAGUUUGAUUUGCAUAGGCAGAACCUAACUGUCAUACGGUUGUCGGAGGAUAUGUUUGCCAAGAAAAAUUGUCAAUUCUUGAUCAUGCGGGCAGAGGGUGGUGGCCUUGGUUAUCUCUUCCUUUCAAACUACAAUGCUAAGUUAUGGAAGAGGAAAAAUGGGUAUGAUGGUGUUGCUUCAUGGGUGCUGGAAAGAACUAUUGAACUGGACAAGCUACUUUCCCUGAAUCCAGAGGAGAAAGACUCCCCAAUUAUGCUUGGGAUUGCUGAGCACAAGAAUUUGGUGUUCAUGUGGACAGUUACCGGCCUCUUCACGGUCCAGCUUGAGUCAUUGGAGUUCAAGGAGAGUUUUGAAACCAACUGUUGGUAUGGCCAUCAACCAUUCGAAGGUGUAUAUACCGCAGAAACAAUCACUGGUGGUGGACAUGAUGGAGCUGCACUGUUGCUCAAUACAUAA